AAGGCAGAGGUGCUACAUAUGGAAAAGAUGGCCUAAUGUGGUGAGAAGGUCUGAGUUCUGUGUUCCGGUCUCAUGUCAGGAUGCUUUGUCACUGAUGAUGUGGACUUAGCAUUACGCAGGGAAUACAGGUGGCUCAUAGCCGAGGCACUGGAAGCCCAAAGAAGGAACAUCAAAUACUACAUCCCGCAGAUUUUCAUGGCAGAAG
Molecule: long non-coding RNA, 205 nt
Organism: Herpailurus yagouaroundi (jaguarundi)
Lineage: Eukaryota; Metazoa; Chordata; Mammalia; Carnivora; Felidae
Exons: 3
Source: RefSeq, a predicted model, not a curated record